GUGAAUCAUCGAAUCUUUGAACGCACCUUGCGCUCCUUGGUAUUCCGAGGAGCAUGCCUGUUUGAGUGUCGUGAAAUCAUCAACUCAACCUUUUUGGUUGAGCUUGGACUUGGGGACUUUGCUGGCGUUUGUCGGCUUCCCUUGAAUGGAUUAGCUGGAAGAUGAAUUUGCAGCAUAUAUGCGGUGUAAUAACGUGUUUCACUGUGUAGCUCAAGUCAAUCUGGCUUCAAAUGUCUCUACAUUUUGACAAUUAGGCCUCAAAUCAGGUAGGACUACCCGCUGAACUUAAGCAUAUCAAUAAGCGGAGGA
RNAcentral lists this unclassified non-coding RNA (309 nucleotides) under Xylodon sp. RNAcentral's name for it is "partial contains 5.8S ribosomal RNA, internal transcribed spacer 2, and large subunit ribosomal RNA". The stretch from base 1 to 71 matches the Rfam family "5.8S ribosomal RNA", at positions 84 to 154 of the family's 154-position model. The record is from RNAcentral. Lineage: Eukaryota; Fungi; Basidiomycota; Agaricomycetes; Hymenochaetales; Schizoporaceae.